RNAcentral lists this long non-coding RNA (494 nucleotides) under Homo sapiens (human). Its description in RNAcentral is "HSALNT0235343". The record is from RNAcentral. Lineage: Eukaryota; Metazoa; Chordata; Mammalia; Primates; Hominidae.
CGCUGUCUGCCUGUUUUGACUACAGAGGAAAGGAGUUCCCUAAAGUUUAGAGGGGCUUGUUUGGAGUCUGAUGUUCUUAGUUUUGUUUGAAGGAGAACUUGAGUCACACCGAUCACUGAGUAGCCAGGCAGGCUGGUCCACAGAGGAGCAGACACUGACCACCUUGCUGGGGUUUCCAGCUGCACCAGGGCUCACAGCCGGCUCCUCCAGGGUGUUUCAGGAACAGAAACUGGAGGACGUGGCUCUCCUGGCGGGGAGCUGUGCUCAAGUAUUCUGGAGCUGCCAGCCCCGUUGGGAGGAAGCCUAGAUCAGUGUCUGCUCCCUCCUAAGUGCUGAAUAAUACAGCUCUUGAGCAAAAUCAGCAGUGGCAGGGGAGAGAGAGAGCAGGAGGGCUUCCCCGCAGACAUCCAAGCUGCUGAGGUGGUGGAGUGGAGGGGGGUGCACCCAGACUGGUAGGAGGCUCUAGAACAUUUUGCAAGCAAAGUCAGCUGACU